GGUUAAGCGACUAAGCGUACACGGUGGAUGCCCUGGCAGUCAGAGGCGAUGAAGGGCGUGCUAAUCUGCGAUAAGCGCCGGUAAGGUGAUAUGAACCGUUAUAACCGGCGAUACCCGAAUGGGGAAACCCAGUGUGAUUCGUCACACUAUCAUUAACUGAAUCCAUAGGUUAAUGAGGCGAACCGGGGGAACUGAAACAUCUAAGUACCCCGAGGAAAAGAAAUCAACCGAGAUUCCCCCAGUAGCGGCGAGCGAACGGGGAGGAGCCCAGAGCCUGAAUCAGCAUGUGUGUUAGUGGAAGCGUCUGGAAAGGCGCGCGAUACAGGGUGACAGCCCCGUACACAAAAGCGCAUGUGCUGUGAGCUCGAUGAGUAGGGCGGGACACGUGGUAUCCUGUCUGAAUAUGGGGGGACCAUCCUCCAAGGCUAAAUACUCCUGACUGACCGAUAGUGAACCAGUACCGUGAGGGAAAGGCGAAAAGAACCCCGGCGAGGGGAGUGAAAAAGAACCUGAAACCGUGUACGUACAAGCAGUGGGAGCCCCACCACUAAGCCAGUGGUGAACUCCACAUACGCAUCCUUUGCUGAGGAUACGGUUAACGGAGCGAAAGCGACGUUCAACCUCAAAAGAAGCAGAGGGGGCUUAGUGGUGGGGUGACUGCGUACCUUUUGUAUAAUGGGUCAGCGACUUAUAUUCUGUAGCAAGGUUAACCGAAUAGGGGAGCCGGAGGGAAACCGAGUCUUAACCGGGCGUUAAGUUGCAGGGUAUAGACCCGAAACCCGGUGAUCUAGCCAUGGGCAGGUUGAAGGUUGGGUAACACUAACUGGAGGACCGAACCGACUAAUGUUGAAAAAUUAGCGGAUGACCUGUGGCUGGGGGUGAAAGGCCAAUCAAACCGGGAGAUAGCUGGUUCUCCCCGAAAGCUAUUUAGGUAGCGCCUCGUGAAUUCAUCUCCGGGGGUAGAGCACUGUUUCGGCUAGGGGGUCAUCCCGACUUACCAACCCGAUGCAAACUGCGAAUACCGGAGAAUGUUAUCACGGGAGACACACGGCGGGUGCUAACGUCCGUCGUGAAGAGGGAAACAACCCAGACCGCCAGCUAAGGUCCCAAAGUCAUGGUUAAGUGGGAAACGAUGUGGGAAGGCCCAGACAGCCAGGAUGUUGGCUUAGAAGCAGCCAUCAUUUAAAGAAAGCGUAAUAGCUCACUGGUCGAGUCGGCCUGCGCGGAAGAUGUAACGGGGCUAAACCAUGCACCGAAGCUGCGGCAGCGAACGUAUCACCCAAGACAACUUUACGGAGUUGACGAUUGAUGGAGCGAAGCGACGUCAAAGCGUUCAUUAAAGUCGAGUUGGCUUAGGGAUACGUUCGUUGGGUAGGGGAGCGUUCUGUAAGCCUG
RNAcentral lists this ribosomal RNA (1395 nucleotides) under Salmonella enterica. RNAcentral's name for it is "partial 23S ribosomal RNA". It matches the Rfam family "Bacterial large subunit ribosomal RNA", at positions 1 to 1251 of the family's 2925-position model. Lineage: Bacteria; Pseudomonadati; Pseudomonadota; Gammaproteobacteria; Enterobacterales; Enterobacteriaceae. The record is from RNAcentral.